GACGAACGCUGGCGGCUUGCUUAACACAUGCAAGUCGAACGGAAAGGCCCUGCUUUUGUGGGGUGCUCGAGUGGCGAACGGGUGAGUAACACGUGAGUAACCUGCCCUUGACUUUGGGAUAACUUCAGGAAACUGUGGCUAAUACCGGAUAGGAGCUCCUGCUGCAUGGUGGGGGUUGGAAAGUUUCGGCGGUUGGGGAUGGACUCGCGGCUUAUCAGCUUGUUGGUGGGGUAGUGGCUUACCAAGGCUUUGACGGGUAGCCGGCCUGAGAGGGUGACCGGCCACAUUGGGACUGAGAUACGGCCAAGACUCCUACGGGAGGCAGCAGUGGGGAAUAUUGCACAAUGGGCGGAAGCCUGAUGCAGCAACGCCGCGUGCGGGAUGACGGCCUUCGGGUUGUAAACCGCUUUCGCCUGUGACGAAGCGUGAGUGAAGGUAAUGGGUAAAGAAGCACCGGCUAACUACGUG
This 468-nucleotide ribosomal RNA is filed under the name uncultured bacterium. RNAcentral's name for it is "partial 16S ribosomal RNA". It matches the Rfam family "Bacterial small subunit ribosomal RNA", at positions 28 to 507 of the family's 1533-position model. The record is from RNAcentral.